UGCAGUCGAGCGGACCGACGGGAGCUUGCUCCCUUAGGUCAGCGGCGGACGGGUGAGUAACACGUGGGUAACCUGCCUGUAAGACUGGGAUAACUCCGGGAAACCGGGGCUAAUACCGGAUGCUUGAUUGAACCGCAUGGUUCAAUCAUAAAAGGUGGCUUUUAGCUACCACUURCAGAUGGACCCGCGGCGCAUUAGCUAGUUGGUGAGGUAACGGCUCACCAAGGCGACGAUGCGUAGCCGACCUGAGAGGGUGAUCGGCCACACUGGGACUGAGACACGGCCCAGACUCCUACGGGAGGCAGCAGUAGGGAAUCUUCCGCAAUGGACGAAAGUCUGACGGAGCAACGCCGCGUGAGUGAUGAAGGUUUUCGGAUCGUAAAACUCUGUUGUUAGGGAAGAACAAGUACCGUUCGAAUAGGGCGGCACCUUGACGGUACCUAACCAGAAAGCCACGGCUAACUACGUGCCAGCAGCCGCGGUAAUACGUAGGUGGCAAGCGUUGUCCGGAAUUAUUGGGCGUAAAGCGCGCGCAGGCGGUUUCUUAAGUCUGAUGUGAAAGCCCCCGGCUCAACCGGGGAGGGUCAUUGGAAACUGGGGAACUUGAGUGCAGAAGAGGAGAGUGGAAUUCCACGUGUAGCGGUGAAAUGCGUAGAGAUGUGGAGGAACACCAGUGGCGAAGGCGACUCUCUGGUCUGUAACUGACGCUGAGGCGCGAA
This 719-nucleotide ribosomal RNA is filed under the name Bacillus sp. (in: firmicutes). RNAcentral describes it as "bacterial SSU rRNA". It matches the Rfam family "Bacterial small subunit ribosomal RNA", at positions 56 to 757 of the family's 1533-position model. The record is from RNAcentral. Lineage: Bacteria; Bacillati; Bacillota; Bacilli; Caryophanales; Bacillaceae.